This 338-nucleotide long non-coding RNA is filed under the name Gossypium barbadense (sea-island cotton). RNAcentral's name for it is "long non-coding RNA (GBAR_LNC022880)". The record is from RNAcentral. Lineage: Eukaryota; Viridiplantae; Streptophyta; Magnoliopsida; Malvales; Malvaceae.
UCGUAAAACGGAACCAAGAACCCCACGGAGAUAUACCCCCGACUACUACUUAAGAAAAAGUUCCUAUCGUGAUUCCUUUUCUCCAUCUACUUCGAGACAAAGAGAUUUAUACUAUGACGCAUAUUCAUCAGCGAAUUCGAGAAGUGACUUCGAUCGAAAGUCCUUUUCAUCAAGAAAUUGGAGAAGACGAGAAGCCGAUUACGAUUUUGAUUCAUUCCAAGAUGGCGUUCGAAGAGAAAGACAUACUCCUACUAGAUCUUCAAAGAAAUCUUACUCGGAGUAUUCUUCACGAAGUUUUGAUUGUGAAUCAUAUGCAAAUAGUUCUUCAUCUUUCGAAC